This 254-nucleotide ribosomal RNA is filed under the name uncultured bacterium. Its description in RNAcentral is "partial 16S ribosomal RNA". It matches the Rfam family "Bacterial small subunit ribosomal RNA", at positions 524 to 776 of the family's 1533-position model. The record is from RNAcentral.
UACGUAGGGUGCGAGCGUUGUCCGGAAUUAUUGGGCGUAAAGAGCUCGUCGGCGGUGUGUCACGUCGGCCGUGAAAACCUGCAGCUUAACUGUGGGCGUGCGGUCGAUACGGGCAUCACUGGAGUUCGGCAGGGGAGACUGGAAUUCCUGGUGUAGCGGUGAAAUGCGCAGAUAUCAGGAAGAACACCCGUGGCUAAGGCGGCUCUCUAGUACGGUACUGACGCUGAGACGCGAAAGCGUGGGGAGCGAACAGG